This is a long non-coding RNA of Anguilla anguilla (European eel), 811 nucleotides long. RefSeq lists it as uncharacterized. NCBI's taxonomy places the organism in Eukaryota, Metazoa, Chordata, Actinopteri, Anguilliformes, Anguillidae. The transcript has 5 exons. The record is from RefSeq and is a predicted model, not a curated record.
ACCACACCCGGUACUAGCAAGUACCUAAUGAAGUGGCCGAUCCGUUGGGAGCCAUGCACCUUGUAUAUCAGGGUAUUUCAUCAUGUAGAGCAAGGCCCAGCGCAGUGUGGUCGAGGAGGUCUCAGUUCCAGCGAGAAACAGGUCCAAAGCACACAUGACCAGGUUGAACUCGUCAAAGCCAGCCUCUGGGUCAUGUGCAUUCUGGCAAGUGAAAGAACAAAAGAGUAAGCUUCUCCUACCUGUCCCCAUAUGGAACCAUCCAGCUGAAUUGUUUCAGACAACAACUUCAGGAGCAGUUGGAAAUUUUGAUCACUAUAAUCAAACCUGUGUCCAAACACCAUGAAGCAGAUAAUGUUGGAGACUGCAUUGUGGAGAAGCAAGUGGGGAUCAAAGGGGUUACCUAUGAAUGAAGAAUAAGACAAGGAAUCUGCUCUCCUCACAGAUGACGGACUCCAAGGAUUUCUUUCCCAAUCCAAAGUUUCUCAUGGUGUUUGAAUUUAAGAGGGAAGUCCACACGUGGAGACUGAAGGAAUUGAAAGAGUGAAAGAUUCUGUAUGGAGGAAUGGACAAAUCUGUUUCUACCAGUAUAUUCACCUAUCUCAUUUAACACUUUAAGAAGACGCAGUGGUAAAGUGCAACCAAAAAAUUCUUCCCCGAGCAAGUGUAUUAGCAUGAAAGAAUGACAUUUUCCUGUUCUUGAGCAUACAGUACAGUUCAUUACCUGUUUGUUUUGUACAGCCCUUUUGCUGAUCUUUAACAAUAUUGCUGACAAUUUGAGAGGGGAAUGACCGGUAUGAUGAAAAGACUUGCC